Molecule: non-coding RNA, 21 nt
Organism: Caenorhabditis elegans
Lineage: Eukaryota; Metazoa; Nematoda; Chromadorea; Rhabditida; Rhabditidae
Source: Ensembl
ACUAUUCUGGCCAACUUUGAC